CCUGUGAAACCCAAAAGAUCGAAUGAAGAGAUUCAUCGUCAGCGUAUUCAGUAUUAAUGCAGGCUAUGAUGUGAUAAUAGAAUCCUUGUGGUCACUAGAUUAUACUUGCUUGUAUUAUUUUUGCUGGGUAUGUCGGCGUGCACUUCUCUUCUAGUAGAACGUCGCAACCCGUUGAAUGUUUAUCUAUGGUCUAAAUGGUAGCCUUUGAUAUUUCAUUAUAUUGAAGACCUUUAGUAUCCUGAUAAACUGUUUGACGGUAUACACAUAGUAUUGAGCCGCAAUUAUUUGCGUUAGACUUAUCGCAAGUAAGGCUUUAUUCUGGUAGUGCGGAUUUUAUCCCGUCGCUGGACAAAGCCUACUGUUAGCUGUGUAAUGUCUUUAACUGGCUUAUUUACUGGUUAGCGAUGCUACUGCUUUGG
This 419-nucleotide ribosomal RNA is filed under the name Sathon falcatus. RNAcentral's name for it is "partial 28S ribosomal RNA". Lineage: Eukaryota; Metazoa; Arthropoda; Insecta; Hymenoptera; Braconidae. The record is from RNAcentral.